RNAcentral lists this long non-coding RNA (786 nucleotides) under Geospiza fortis (medium ground-finch). Its description in RNAcentral is "lncRNA (ENSGFOG00000012279.1)". Lineage: Eukaryota; Metazoa; Chordata; Aves; Passeriformes; Thraupidae. The record is from RNAcentral.
UAGGAGCAGGCAAUAGGAUUUUAAAAGUACUGUGAAUUGACUGAGUAGUGAAGAGCGAGGAGAGCACUGCUGCCUCCCUGAAGUAUCUUCUUUCACGGAGGGGAAAAAACCAAACAUCCUAUUUGAACGAUUUGAGAGAUUAAAGAAAACCUUCCUAGAAACAGAUUUCCUAGAAUAGGGUGACAAAGGGAAAAUUCCCAUCACACCCCCAACCUGAGAGGGGGAAAGAAGCUUUCUUCCAGUUUGGCAUUGUGAUGACAAUCUUGCUUUGCACGUUAAAAAAUGCAACCUUUCUUAGGCUGCACUUGAAUUUUAGCCUGAAACACACCAACUGCCCAAGUGAAGGGGAAAAAAAAUAAGGUACACAUUUUAAUAUUCACUAAAGCAAAGUGAGUAUUGGGGUUCUCUGUAUGAGUCAUUGCAGGGGAGCGCCCACCUUUGCCGCAGGACUGCUUGCUGAGGACUAAUUGGAACCUCUCUGCUCUGAAUAACCUACAUUCAUUAAUCACCCCUUGCUUGACUCUGGCCUCAAUCCUGCUCCCAUUGAACUCAGAGGUGCAAUCCUGGGGAUUUCAAAGGGGAGCCGGAUCCCACUGUUCUCCCACAGGUAAAAACCGGGUGGAAUGCUGCCCGGGCCAGGCAAUUGGGUGUCAAAAGGUACCCGAGAGAAUCAUCUACAACGGUGAUGUGAAAAUCCCUGUUACCUGAGGUCAAAAAUAAAAGUUUUCAAAGAGGCUCUGAAGGACCUUUUUAGAGCUCCAAGGGCAGGAUGAGGCAAUGAUGGAC